CCUACGGGGGGCUGCAGUGAGGAAUAUUGGUCAAUGGCCGUAAGGCUGAACCAGCCAAGUAGCGUGAAGGAUGACGGCCCUACGGGUUGUAAACUUCUUUUGUCAGGGAGCAAUUGGGUCCACGCGUGGGCUUAGCGAGAGUAACUGAAGAAAAAGCAUCGGCUAACUCCGUGCCAGCAGCCGCGGUAAUACGAAGGAUGCGAGCGUUAUCCGGAUUUGUUGGGUUUAAAGGGUGCGUAGGCGGAAUAUCAAGUCAGCGGUAAAAAUUCGGGGCUCAACCCCGUCGUGCCGUUGAGACUGAUGUUCUUGAGUGGGCGAGAAGUAUGCGGAAUGCGUGGUGUAGCGGUGAAAUGCAUAGAUAUCACGUAGAACUCCGAUUGCGAAGGCAGCAAACCGGCGCCCAACUGACGCUGAAGCACGAAAGCGUGGGUAUCGAACAGGAUUAGAUACCCGGGUAGUC
This 460-nucleotide ribosomal RNA is filed under the name uncultured bacterium. Its description in RNAcentral is "partial 16S ribosomal RNA". It matches the Rfam family "Bacterial small subunit ribosomal RNA", at positions 338 to 795 of the family's 1533-position model. The record is from RNAcentral.